RNAcentral lists this unclassified non-coding RNA (201 nucleotides) under Glomus sp. Its description in RNAcentral is "partial contains 5.8S ribosomal RNA and internal transcribed spacer 2". The stretch from base 1 to 65 matches the Rfam family "5.8S ribosomal RNA", at positions 84 to 154 of the family's 154-position model. Lineage: Eukaryota; Fungi; Glomeromycota; Glomeromycetes; Glomerales; Glomeraceae. The record is from RNAcentral.
GUGAAUCAUCAAAUUUUUGAACGCAAAUUGCACUCUCUUCGGUGAGUAUGCCUGUUUGAGGGUCAGCCUAAAAAAAAAUUGAAAUAGUUGCUGUUUCGCGGUGACAUUCGUCGGAAAUUGGGUCAUCUUAAACCUUUGGGAUUUAAGCGGCUUAAAAUUUACUUUUUGAUUCCACGAACGUUUAUAUGUAUUACUUCUUAU